UGGUUUUCUUCUCUUUUUAGCUUUUAAUUGCUGGGGUUGCUCCGGAAAGAUCCCAAAGCCUUAAUAGCCGCCGCUCUAAGGAUGUACUGAUGAUAUGCCGCCGCCGCAAGUGCUCCCACCAUUGGUCCAACCCAGAAUAUCCACUGUUCAUUCGUCACCAUUUUUGUUAGUUUCUCAAACUAAAUGAACAAAAUACACUGAAAUUUUUUUUAGAAAAAGAAGCUUACUUGGUCAUCCCAAGCCUUGUCGUUGUUGUAAAUAACGGCGGCGCCGAAGCUUCUAGCAGGGUUAAUACCAGUUCCGGUGAUGGGAAUAGUAGCCAAAUGAACCAUGAACACUGCAAAUCCUAUAGGCAGUGGAGCCAACACGGGUACAUGUGAAUCACGGGCACUUCUUUUAGGGUCAGUAGCUGAAAAAACAGUGUAAACAAGCACGAAUGUCCCAAUAAUCUCAGCUCCCAAAGCAGUCCCUUUGUUAUAACCAGUCGCCACCGUGUUAGCACCGCCGCCAAGGGAGUUGUAUUCACUCUUCAUGAAUGCCUUAACUAACCCAACACCACAAAUAGCACCCAAACAUUGAGCUACCAUGUAAGCCACCGCCCUUAUAAGCGACACCUUCCUAGCCAAAAACAACCCAAAUGUCACCGCCGGGUUAAUGUGACCACC
This 665-nucleotide long non-coding RNA is filed under the name Gossypium barbadense (sea-island cotton). RNAcentral's name for it is "long non-coding RNA (GBAR_LNC013099)". Lineage: Eukaryota; Viridiplantae; Streptophyta; Magnoliopsida; Malvales; Malvaceae. The record is from RNAcentral.